This 827-nucleotide ribosomal RNA is filed under the name Escherichia coli. RNAcentral's name for it is "partial 23S ribosomal RNA". It matches the Rfam family "Bacterial large subunit ribosomal RNA", at positions 2104 to 2925 of the family's 2925-position model. Lineage: Bacteria; Pseudomonadati; Pseudomonadota; Gammaproteobacteria; Enterobacterales; Enterobacteriaceae. The record is from RNAcentral.
CUAUAGCUUGACACUGAACAUUGAGCCUUGAUGUGUAGGAUAGGUGGGAGGCUUUGAAGUGUGGACGCCAGUCUGCAUGGAGCCGACCUUGAAAUACCACCCUUUAAUGUUUGAUGUUCUAACGUGGGCCCCUAAUCGGGGUUGCGGACAGUGUCUGGUGGGUAGUUUGACUGGGGCGGUCUCCUCCUAAAGAGUAACGGAGGAGCACGAAGGUUGGCUAAUCCUGGUCGGACAUCAGGAGGUUAGUGCAAUGGCAUAAGCCAGCUUGACUGCGAGCGUGACGGCGCGAGCAGGUGCGAAAGCAGGUCAUAGUGAUCCGGUGGUUCUGAAUGGAAGGGCCAUCGCUCAACGGAUAAAAGGUACUCCGGGGAUAACAGGCUGAUACCGCCCAAGAGUUCAUAUCGACGGCGGUGUUUGGCACCUCGAUGUCGGCUCAUCACAUCCUGGGGCUGAAGUAGGUCCCAAGGGUAUGGCUGUUCGCCAUUUAAAGUGGUACGCGAGCUGGGUUUAGAACGUCGUGAGACAGUUCGGUCCCUAUCUGCCGUGGGCGCUGGAGAACUGAGGGGGGCUGCUCCUAGUACGAGAGGACCGGAGUGGACGCAUCACUGGUGUUCGGGUUGUCAUGCCAAUGGCACUGCCCGGUAGCUAAAUGCGGAAGAGAUAAGUGCUGAAAGCAUCUAAGCACGAAACUUGCCCCGAGAUGAGUUCUCCCUGAGACUUAGAGUCUCCUGAAGGAACGUUGAAGACGACGACGUUGAUAGGCCGGGUGUGUAAGCGCAGCGAUGCGUUGAGCUAACCGGUACUAAUGAACCGUGAGGCUUAACCUU